This 254-nucleotide unclassified non-coding RNA is filed under the name Hevea brasiliensis (rubber tree). The record is from RNAcentral. Lineage: Eukaryota; Viridiplantae; Streptophyta; Magnoliopsida; Malpighiales; Euphorbiaceae.
UUGGCGAUGGAUGUUCAACGUUGGGUAUAUAUUACACAUGCUGCCGUCUGGGGAUCCAUAGUCAUAACAUAUGCCUGCAUGGUGGUGUUGGAUUCGAUACCGGUUUUUCCUAACUACUGGACGAUCUUUCAUCUUGCCAAGUCCCCAACUUACUGGCUAACUAUAUUGCUCAUAAUAGUUGUAGCAUUGCUUCCACGUUAUCUUUUUAAAGUUGUGAAUCAAAGAUUUUGGCCCUCGGAUAUUCAGAUAGCCAG